UAUUAAAAAUUUCACCAUUUAUUAUUAUUAAAAACUGACGUAGCUGACAAAAUAAGCAACCAAUUACAUAUGGUGUGCUAUGUGUACCUGAUUUUGACGUAUAAGAACAAUUUUAAAAGUAGAAAUGGAUGAAAUUUUUAACA
Molecule: non-coding RNA, 143 nt
Organism: Gossypium hirsutum (cotton)
Lineage: Eukaryota; Viridiplantae; Streptophyta; Magnoliopsida; Malvales; Malvaceae
Source: Rfam